RNAcentral lists this ribosomal RNA (450 nucleotides) under uncultured Acidovorax sp. RNAcentral's name for it is "bacterial SSU rRNA". It matches the Rfam family "Bacterial small subunit ribosomal RNA", at positions 930 to 1382 of the family's 1533-position model. Lineage: Bacteria; Pseudomonadati; Pseudomonadota; Betaproteobacteria; Burkholderiales; Comamonadaceae. The record is from RNAcentral.
CGGUGGAUGAUGUGGUUUAAUUCGAUGCAACGCGAAAACUUACUCACCUUUGACAUGUACGGAAUCCUUUAGAGAUAGAGGAGUGCUCGAAAGAGAACCGUAACACGGGUGCUGCAUGGCUGUCGUCAGCUCGUGUCGUGAGAUGUUGGGUUAAGUCCCGCAACGAGCGCAACCCUUGUCAUUAGUUGCUACAUUCAGUUGGGCACUCUAAUGAGACUGCCGGUGACAAACCGGAGGAAGGUGGGGAUGACGUCAAGUCCUCAUGGCCCUUAUAGGUGGGGCUACACACGUCAUACAAUGGAUGGUACAAAGGGUCGCCAACCCGCGAGGGGGAGCCAAUCCCAUAAAGCCAUUCGUAGUCCGGAUCGCAGUCUGCAACUCGACUGCGUGAAGUCGGAAUCGCUAGUAAUCGUGGAUCAGAAUGCCACGGUGAAUACGUUCCCGGGUCUU